AGUGGGGGAGCGAAUUGUUUUGGUUAAUUCCGAUAACGAACGAGAUUNUANCCUGNUAAAUUANAACAUUCCAUUCUUUGGNGUGUGGAUGANGAUUUCUUAGAGGGAACAAGUGGCGUUUAGUCACACGAGAUUGAGCAAUAACAGUUCUGUGAUGCCCUUAGAUGUUCGGGGCCGCACGCGCGCUACACUGAAGGACUCAGCGUGCUCUUAUCCUGCUCCGAAAGGACUGGGUAACCCGAUGAACUUCCUUCGUGCUAGGGACUGGGGCUUGUAAUUCUUCCCCACGAACGAGGAAUUCCCAGUAAGCGCGAGUCAUAAGCUCGCGUUGAUUACGUCCCUGCCCUUUGUACACACCGCCCGUCGCUACUACCGAUUGAACGGUUUAGUGAGAUCCUCGGAUUGGACCCGGCUCGGGGGUUCCACCUCCGGUUCGGUGCGCCGAGAAGAUGCUCGAACUUGGCCGCUUAGAGGAAGUAAAAGUCGUAACAAGGUUUCCGUAGGUGAACCUGCAGAAGGAUCA
This 523-nucleotide ribosomal RNA is filed under the name Pogonophora sp. JT-2. RNAcentral describes it as "SSU rRNA". It matches the Rfam family "Eukaryotic small subunit ribosomal RNA", at positions 1296 to 1828 of the family's 1831-position model. The record is from RNAcentral. Lineage: Eukaryota; Metazoa; Annelida; Polychaeta; Sabellida; Siboglinidae.